AGCUUUGCGCAGUGGCAGUAUUGUAGCCAAUGAAGUUUAUCUGAGGCCCAAUUAUUGCUAAUUGAAAACUGAGUCACCAGAAUUGCAGUCUAGAUGGCCGCCUUAGAAUGCCACAUAAUUCUGAAAUAUGUUAACUUUAGAAAGUUUCUUUAAGAAG
Molecule: non-coding RNA, 157 nt
Organism: Otolemur garnettii (small-eared galago)
Lineage: Eukaryota; Metazoa; Chordata; Mammalia; Primates; Galagidae
Source: Rfam